AGUGAACGCUGGCGGUAGGCCUAACACAUGCAAGUCGAACGGCAGCACAGUAAGAGCUUGCUCUUACGGGUGGCGAGUGGCGGACGUGUGAGGAAUACAUCGGAAUCUACUUUUUCGUGGGGGAUAACGUAGGGAAACUUACGCUAAUACCGCAUACGACCUACGGGUGAAAGCAGGGGAUCUUCUGACCUUGCGCGAUUGAAUGAGCCGAUGUCGGAUUAGCUAGUUGGCGGGGUAAAGGCCCACCAAGGCGACGAUCCGUAGCUGGUCUGAGAGGAUGAUCAGCCACACGGGAACUGAGACACGGUCAAGACUCCUACGGGAGGCAGCAGUGGGGAAUAUUGGACAAUGGGCGGAAGCCUGAUCCAGCCAUACCGCGUGGGUGAAGAAGACCUUCGGGUUGUAAAGCCCUUUUGUUGGGAAAGAAAAGCAGCAGGUUAAUACCCCGCUGUUCUGACGGUACCCAAAGAAUAAGCACCGGCUAACUUCGUG
This 492-nucleotide ribosomal RNA is filed under the name uncultured bacterium. RNAcentral describes it as "partial 16S ribosomal RNA". It matches the Rfam family "Bacterial small subunit ribosomal RNA", at positions 29 to 507 of the family's 1533-position model. The record is from RNAcentral.